UUCAAGUUAAUUUCCGAUGACGUUUUGGAAAUGAUUUCGUGGUCGUGGACACGAGUACGAAGCUUAGAGGAGUGUGGAAUUAGUUCGAACGAUUUUAUUUUGAAAACUGAACGUUUUAGGGGGGUCAAAGGAGUUGACUUUUUAUACAUUGGGAAAUUGGGAAAACUUCCUUCAUGAAAGUUGUAGAGCGCGUCGAUACGAGUUCGUGGACAUAUGGAACGUAAUAUUCGGAGUUCGUAUGAAUAAGUUACGAAUAUUUGAAAAUUGGGAUUUUCUAUAAAUAUGAAAAAAAAUCCGAAUAUUGCAAAUGAGGACAGAAUUUCUGGAACUCCAGAAAUUUCUCCCCAUUUCUCUCCCGAGCCCAGCCGCGACCCCCUCCCUUCGUCACCUUCGUUCUUCCUCAUCCGGCCACCGAUUGAUGUGAAACAAAGUGGGUUUUUCUGGUCUCGACCCCCUUUACGAGUUUGUAGAAGAAAUCGAAGUGAAAUACGAGCUGUAUGAGGCUCUACAAGGUCGAGAAGAGAGCCUCGUCGGAGACGAAAUCGCUCUUCCCCACUUUUUCUGGGCUCUACUUUGUCUGGCCAUAUCUUCCUCUACAGGCCUCCGAUCGGCCUGAUUCCAAAAGCAAUUUUUCUCACCGUGAAGUUUUCUACAACUUUCCAGAAGACAUCGACUUGAGAUAACCAUCGUGGUGGCCGCUAGAAGACCGAGAAGCCGCACAGCCGAGCUGGAAAUCGUCUUCCUUCGCCACCUUGGUUCUCCCAGCUCCGGCCACUAUAGCUCGAGUUCUUUGAGGGUUUUUCUAGCCCAGAGGAAGUAGAAGCUAUCCCCAAGAAGGCUUGCAGCGAUUUGAUCCGGGGUGAUCGAAUUUUGAAGAUUGGGAAACUAGGGUUCUUCGGGUUUCAAAACUUGCGAGGUGAUUGACGGUCUCCCUUGGGUGAACGAUUUCGGUGUGUAUUGUGUUGAAUUGAAGACGCAGCGGGAAUAUCGAGCGGGUAAUCCUGCAGGUCAGGAGAAUCAGGACGGUGAUCGUGCGGGUUAGAGAAUUUGUUUUAGUUUUACAGCAAUUGUAAUUGUGAGGUGAGUUAUGCUCAUUUGAGCCUUACAAUAUAAUUUGGUGAGAGUGUGCUGUAAUAAACAAAUUUGAGAUUUGGUUUAUGUAAUAUCGAGCGAUGUGAGGUGUGGUUGUUUUGAGAAAAAAAAAUUCAGGUUGUAUUUAUGUGAGUUGUAUUAAUUCAUGUUUCGGAUUUUGAUUUGUAU
Long non-coding RNA from Rosa rugosa (rugosa rose), 1260 nucleotides. RefSeq lists it as uncharacterized. The transcript is spliced from 3 exons. The record is from RefSeq and is a predicted model, not a curated record. NCBI's taxonomy places the organism in Eukaryota, Viridiplantae, Streptophyta, Magnoliopsida, Rosales, Rosaceae.